This 394-nucleotide RNase P RNA is filed under the name Alphaproteobacteria bacterium. Its description in RNAcentral is "RNase P RNA component class A". It matches the Rfam family "Bacterial RNase P class A". From Rfam's summary of the family: Ribonuclease P (RNase P) is a ubiquitous endoribonuclease, found in archaea, bacteria and eukarya as well as chloroplasts and mitochondria. Its best characterised activity is the generation of mature 5'-ends of tRNAs by cleaving the 5'-leader elements of precursor-tRNAs. The record is from RNAcentral. Lineage: Bacteria; Pseudomonadati; Pseudomonadota; Alphaproteobacteria.
CUAGACAGUCAGAUAGCUGCGCGUUGAUAAUGGGGAAACCCCUCAACGUGAGGAAAGUCCGGGCUCCACGGGAAUACGGUGCCGGUUAACGGCCGGCGGGGGUAACCCCAGGGAAAGUGCCACAGAAAGAAAACCGCCCAUAUGAGCAAUAUCGCAAAUAUGGGUAAGGGUGAAAGGGUGCGGUAAGAGCGCACCGCGUUGUCGGUAACGAUAGCGGCUUGGUAAACCCCACCGGGAGCAAGACCGAGUAGAGGUGGCUUAUAGUGUAUUUCCGCACUGCUACCUGGGUGGGUCGCAUGAGACGCAUGGCAACAUGCGUCCUAGAUGAAUAGCUAUCUCCAGCACGGGUAAGACCGCGUUGGGACAGAACCCGGCUUAUAGACUGUCUGGCUCU